UCUGAACUCAAAUCAGGUAAGAUUACCCGCUGAAUUUUAAGCAUAUUAAUAAGCGGAGGAAAAGAAACUAACAAGGAUUCCCUUAGUAACGGCGAGUGAAGCGGGAACAGCUCAAGCUUGAAAUCGGCAGUUGGUAAACAUAUGUCGAGUUGUAGCUUUUGGAAGCAGUUUCAAGCCAGUGGUUGCGGUAAAAGUUCUUUUGAAUAAGACAUCAAAGAGGGUGAGAAUCCCGUCAUUGACCGUGAUUUAAUUGGUGAUGCGAACUGUUUUCUGCGAGUCGGGUUGUUUGGGAAUGCAGCCCUAAUUGGGAGGUAAAUUUCUUCCAAAGCUAAAUAUCAGUAAGAGACCGAUAGCAAACAAGUACCGUGAGGGAAAGAUGAAAAGCACUUUGAAAAGAGAGUGAAAAGUACGUGAAAUUGUUGAAAGGGAACCGGUUGGUAGCCAAGCAUUUCUUGGAGUUAGGGCAUUUAUGUCAGAGCGCCAGGAGGGUCAACAUCGAUUGCUGUUUAUAACUGCCAGAAAGGAAAUUGUUCAGACCAGCGGAGGAAGGUAGGGAGGUGAGUUUCCAGGACAUUUAUGGCUUGGUAUUAUGGCUUGCUUUCUGUUAUAGCCUCCAUGGGUUUGAUUUUUACGCCUAGUGGUGGUGGCGAUCGAGGACUGCAGCGCGUUUUGAGGGUUUUAUUACUCUUGAUGGCCUGAUUGUCAUUGAGCAUUGUAGUUGCGUUGCGGUAGACAGCAUGCUGACUAUUGCGGGUAGGCUAUAUGAUCUUUGGGAUUUGGGACUAAAUAGCGCUUUGGAUGUUGGCGAAAAGGCACUAAUCGACCCGUCUUGAAACACGGACCAAGGAGUCCAACAUGCAUGCGAGUAUCUGGGAAAAAUAAACCCAUAUGCGCAAUGAAAGUGAACUAGUAGAAACUUUUAUUAGAAUGUAACCGGGAGCAAUCCUGGGCAGCAUCGACCGACUUUCGAUAGCGUUGCUUGAAGAGGUUGAGUAAGAGCAUGUAUGCUGGGACCCGAAAGAUGGUGAACUAUGCCUGAAUAGGGUGAAGUCAGAGGAAACUCUGAUGAAGCUCGUAGAGAUUCUGACGUGCAAAUCGAUCUCCAAAUUUGGGUAUAGGGGCGAAAGACUA
This 1131-nucleotide ribosomal RNA is filed under the name Smittium tipulidarum. RNAcentral's name for it is "eukaryotic LSU rRNA". It matches the Rfam family "Eukaryotic large subunit ribosomal RNA", at positions 1 to 933 of the family's 3401-position model. Lineage: Eukaryota; Fungi; Kickxellomycota; Harpellomycetes; Harpellales; Legeriomycetaceae. The record is from RNAcentral.